CCAGCAGCCAGCCAGCGUCUGUUACAUAGGCUCCUGAAUAUUGACAGAAAACCCUGACUGGGCCAGGUGCGGUGGCUCACGCCUGUAAUCCCAGCACUUUGGGAGGCCAAGGCGGGCGGAUCACAAGGUCAGGAGAUCGAGACCAUCCUGGCCAACAUGGUGAAACCCCAUCUCUACUAAAACUACAAAAAUUAGCUGGGCGUGGUGGCGCGCACCUGUAGUCCCAGCUACUCGGGAGGCUGAGGCAGGAGAAUCACUUAAUCCUGGGAGGCAUAGAUUGCAGUGAGCUGAGAUGCUACUAUUGCACUGCAGCCUGGGUGAUGAGCAAGACUCUGAAAAAAAAAAAAAUCUGACUGAUACACUUCCCCAUUGCUUAUACAGAAAAUUGGCCUUCCAGGGACCUCCAUCACCAGUCUCUGUAUAUGGAUUCCGUCAGCCCGGCAGUCUUAUCUCGCAGUCCUCUUGCCAACAGUUUGCUCUUAUUACACUGUCUAGAAUCUAUCAAGGUCUUCCGUAUUUCUGUGCUUCGGACAGGCCAUUUACUCCUAAAAAGUGUCCCACCCCCUUUUCCUUACCCUCUCCCUGCCCUCCCUGACUCCUUUUCUUCUAUGUCCAACUAAAAUGUCUGCUUUGGUGACCGUAAGUAGUUAAGGCAAAGCUAACGAGUUCUACUGUGUCUGGUAGAGAAUUCUGUAAUUGAACUCAUCACACCCUGUUGCCGGCGUGCAUUCAGAUUUCUUUUAUUUAUUUUUAUUUAUUUUGCAUUCAGAUUUCUAUCUCCUCUUCUGUACUGCUAGUUUCUUACGCUCAGGCACGUUAUGCACGGUUUGCUCUCAAACAUCUAAGAAAUUAAUGAUGACUACUUAAUAAAAUUUUAAAUAAG
Molecule: long non-coding RNA, 883 nt
Filed under: Homo sapiens (human)
Lineage: Eukaryota; Metazoa; Chordata; Mammalia; Primates; Hominidae
Description: HSALNT0324367
Source: RNAcentral